GCGGCCUUGGCGAAAUCGGCAGUCGCGCGGGUUUUAGGUGCCCGUGGGAGAAAUCCCGUGAGGGUUCGAAUCCCUCAGGCCGCA
This 84-nucleotide transfer RNA is filed under the name Streptomyces sp. FH025. It matches the Rfam family "tRNA". Rfam says of the family: Transfer RNA (tRNA) molecules are approximately 80 nucleotides in length. Their secondary structure includes four short double-helical elements and three loops (D, anti-codon, and T loops). Lineage: Bacteria; Bacillati; Actinomycetota; Actinomycetes; Kitasatosporales; Streptomycetaceae. The record is from Rfam by way of RNAcentral.